RNAcentral lists this ribosomal RNA (253 nucleotides) under uncultured bacterium. RNAcentral describes it as "partial 16S ribosomal RNA". It matches the Rfam family "Bacterial small subunit ribosomal RNA", at positions 524 to 776 of the family's 1533-position model. The record is from RNAcentral.
UACGGAGGGUGCGAGCGUUAAUCGGAAUCACUGGGCGUAAAGCGCACGUAGGCGGUGUCGUAAGUCGGAUGUGAAAGCCCUCGGCUCAACCGGGGAACUGCAUUCGAUACUGCGAUGCUUGAGUGCCGGAGAGGGUGGCGGAAUUCCAGGUGUAGGAGUGAAAUCCGUAGAGAUCUGGAGGAACACCGGUGGCGAAGGCGGCCACCUGGCCGGCAACUGACGAUGAGGUGCGAAAGCGUGGGGAUCAAACAGG